This 406-nucleotide ribosomal RNA is filed under the name uncultured Pseudomonas sp. Its description in RNAcentral is "bacterial SSU rRNA". It matches the Rfam family "Bacterial small subunit ribosomal RNA", at positions 30 to 436 of the family's 1533-position model. The record is from RNAcentral. Lineage: Bacteria; Pseudomonadati; Pseudomonadota; Gammaproteobacteria; Pseudomonadales; Pseudomonadaceae.
AUUGAACGCUGGCGGCAGGCCUAACACAUGCAAGUCGAGCGGAUGACGGGAGCUUGCUCCUUGAUUCAGCGGCGGACGGGUGAGUAAUACCUAGGAAUCUGCCUGAUAGUGGGGGACAACGUUUCGAAAGGAACGCUAAUACCGCAUACGUCCUACGGGAGAAAGCAGGGGACCUUCGGGCCUUGCGCUAUCAGAUGAGCCUAGGUCGGAUUAGCUAGUUGGUGAGGUAAUGGCUCACCAAGGCGACGAUCCGUAACUGGUCUGAGAGGAUGAUCAGUCACACUGGAACUGAGACACGGCCCAAACUCCUACGGGAGGCAGCAGUGGGGAAUAUUGGACAAUGGGCGCAAGCCUGAUCCAGCCAUGCCGCGUGAGUGAUGAAGGCCCUAGGGUUGUAAAGCUCUUU